UUUGCGUGCGCCGGUCACGCGGCUGGUGUUGACACUUCCGGGUGGGACCAAAGGGAGGCGGCGGGGCAGGGGCUGGCACCUCCCGCAGCGACCAUGGCGUAUACCGGCCUCACCGUGCCUCUCAUCGUGAUGAGCGUGUUCUGGGGCUUCGUCGGCUUCCUGGUGCCCUGGUUCAUCCCUAAGGGUCCCAACCGGGGAGUAAUUAUCACCAUGUUGGUGACCUGUUCUGUUUGCUGCUAUCUCUUUUGGCUGAUUGCAAUUCUGGCCCAACUCAACCCUCUCUUUGGACCACAGUUGAAAAAUGAAACCAUCUGGUACCUCAAGCAUCAUUGGCCUUGAGGAAGAAGACCUGCUCGCCAGUGCUCAGUCAUUGAGGCCUAAACAAUGAGGAAGUCUGACCAUAUGCUCGUCAUAGGAAUGUAACAUGCAAAACAUCUGAAUUCACGGCUUCAGGUCACGAAGAGAACUCCUCUAGAUGCAAAAUCACCUCCAUACCCAGACCACCUUCCUUGACUCGCCGCCCACUUUGGCCAUCAGCUGCCUUAAACGUUCAUACCACCUUUGAAUAUCUUAUCCUACAGUGCAGUAUUUUUUCCUGUUGCUUUUUUUAUACUUUGAUGAAUAAUGUGCCUAUUGAAUCUAAACUGUGCUGCCUCUAUAAAAUGUUUAUGUACUCUUCCGAGAUAGAAAGUGCUGUUCUUCUGAGAAAUAACGUAACUCUCUCCUUGGAACCUGUGGAUUUGAAGAAUGGCUCCUGCCUGCUCACAACAGGAGAAUUCAGUGAAGUACUUAAAAACUGUCACGUGGCAGUAAGACUCCCGUGGCGCAGUCAGUAGGAGGACACAUUCAGAGGGAACAUCUGUCCCACCAGAAUUAUACCAAAGUAUCUUUUCAGGAUAAAUUUCUUAUUUCUGCCCUCUUUUGGAAUAAAUUAUUUUUCUUCUUUCUGUGGAAA
RNA transcript from Hippopotamus amphibius kiboko, 955 nucleotides. It is a transcript of the gene named ATPase H+ transporting V0 subunit e1, with no coding region annotated. The record is from RefSeq and is a predicted model, not a curated record. The transcript has 5 exons. NCBI's taxonomy places the organism in Eukaryota, Metazoa, Chordata, Mammalia, Artiodactyla, Hippopotamidae.